CCCGCACGCAUGAACAAGCGAGGCCUCCAGGGUGCCCUUGAGCGAGAACCACUCGCACGCAUGACUCGCACAACAUAUCCCAUCGCUGCCGCCCUCGCACUCACAUCAAGCCACCGCUGAUCCCUGUGCUACCUCGAUGGGAGCCAUCGCAAACCCAUCCCUUCGCCGCCGCCCUGCGCCACGAAAGUCUCCACCAGCACCGCGACGGGCGUGGCCUCCACACGCGCCGUCACCGCCCCUCCAGAUUUGGUCGUCGUCAAGGGCGUAUCCAUCCAACAGCGUCACCUCCCCUCCAGAUCCGACCGUUGUCAAGGCUGUAUCCAUCCAGCAGUGCGCCGUCAUCCCAAUCAUCACCGUCCACGGCGUCAUCGCCCAGGCCUAGUCUGGGGCCGGCAAGACGUCCAUGAUCUCCCUCUUUGUCUGCCAGGUUAUCGAGACCAACGUCCACGAGGUGUAGGCAUUAGCGACGACAUGGACAGGGGCUUCACUGACAGGAAGAACUUGCUCAUGGACCGCAGGACCAUGGCUCCCAAGAUCGACGACCUCAGUUUCUUACUCGAGGUACCGACCCUGAGGUCCUUCUUGGUGCCACAUGUGAUUUGUGGGCUGCACUUUUGAAUUUGGUAUGAUGAACUGGACUUUGUAAAUGAGCACAUACAUACACUGAACUCCAGAUAAAUGGCAGCUGAAUUUCAAGUA
Molecule: long non-coding RNA, 699 nt
Organism: Triticum dicoccoides
Lineage: Eukaryota; Viridiplantae; Streptophyta; Magnoliopsida; Poales; Poaceae
Exons: 3
Source: RefSeq, a predicted model, not a curated record